AUACGACUCUCGGCAACGGAUAUCUCGGCUCUCGCAUCGAUGAAGAACGUAGCGAAAUGCGAUACUUGGUGUGAAUUGCAGAAUCCCGUGAACCAUCGAGUCUUUGAACGCAAGUUGCGCCCGAGGCCUUUAGGUCGAGGGCACAUCUGCUUGGGCGUCAAACAUCUAGUCGCCACCC
Molecule: ribosomal RNA, 178 nt
Filed under: Manekia naranjoana
Lineage: Eukaryota; Viridiplantae; Streptophyta; Magnoliopsida; Piperales; Piperaceae
Also listed under: 1 other name
Description: 5.8S ribosomal RNA
Rfam family: 5.8S ribosomal RNA (bases 5-160)
About the family: 5.8S ribosomal RNA (5.8S rRNA) is a component of the large subunit of the eukaryotic ribosome. It is transcribed by RNA polymerase I as part of the 45S precursor that also contains 18S and 28S rRNA.
Source: RNAcentral